RNAcentral lists this ribosomal RNA (226 nucleotides) under uncultured fungus. Its description in RNAcentral is "partial small subunit ribosomal RNA". The stretch from base 106 to 226 matches the Rfam family "Eukaryotic small subunit ribosomal RNA", at positions 745 to 864 of the family's 1831-position model. The record is from RNAcentral. Lineage: Eukaryota; Fungi.
GUAACUCAGGGGAUGUGGUCUGCCGAAAGGUGUGUACUGCUCCCCUGAUACCUCUUUCUGCUGUUGAGCAUCGCUAGCCUUAAGUGGCUGGUGGGUGCCUACUGCAGAUCGUUUACUUUGAAUAAAUUAGAGUGUUCCAAGCAGGCAAGCUUUGCCUUGAAUACAUUAGCAUGGGAUAAUGGAAUAGGACUACUCGUCCAUUUCGUUGGUUUUGGGGCUUGUAGUA